UCUCCACAUUGAUUACUCCAGGUCUAAAUACUAGCUUGAAAGGGGAAUUAGACUUUAUGUAUUGCCAAAAGCUAUUGGUAUUCUCUUGCUAAGCAUGUCACCAACUGCUGAAUGUUCAGAGCCUACUAUGAACUUGAAAGAAAACAGAGCAUUGACCCCUGCAUUGAUCCCUCUCUCUCCAAAUAUAUUCUUACCCACAUUGCUUUCCUCUCAUGGAUAGAGAUGUAUUCCUACAACACCCAGACUUUGAACAUGUUUUGCAUCCUUCCCUCUCCUCGCCUCUCCCUGUCUAAUAUAUCUCUAUCAAGCUUUGCGUUUGCUAGGAGGCACACCAUUCAUUUCAGUGAUCUCUGCUAUUGGGUCCUGCAUGAAAAAGAAGCUGAGCAACAUGAUCCCUUUGACCCACUGCUGGAGCAACAAAUUUAUCAGAAAUAUAGGCAUGAGAAAUGAAAGGGAAGUAAAACAAUUCCAGCUUA
Homo sapiens (human) is the source of this 476-nucleotide long non-coding RNA. Lineage: Eukaryota; Metazoa; Chordata; Mammalia; Primates; Hominidae. The record is from Ensembl.